UUCGAUUCCGGAGAGGGAGCCUUAAAAACGGCUACCACAUCCAAGGAAGGCAGCAGGCACGCAAAUUACCCAAUGGUCGAAGACCGAGGUAGUGACGAAGAAUAACAAUACAAGACUCCUCCGAGGCCUUGUAAUUGGAAUGAGUACAGUUUAAAACCGUUCCCGAGGAUCUAUUGGAGGGCAAGUCUGGUGCCAGCAGCCGCGGUAAUUCCAGCUCCAAUAGCGUAUAUUAAAGUUGUUGUGGUUAAAAAGCUCGUAGUUGGAUUUCGGCGGGUAGUGGUCGGUUUGAAUUGCUUUAACACUGGCUUUUUUACCCGUGUGUUUUGCCAGAAUUUAACGGGUGAUCUUCGCCGAUUGUCCGUUAGAACUGGCAGGUUUACUUUGAAAAAAUUAGAGUGCUCAAAGCAAGCUUGAUUGCUUGAAUAUUCGUGCAUGGAAUAAUAGAAUAGGAAGUCGUUUCUAUUUUGUUGGUUUUCGGAAAUCGACUUAAUGAUUAAUAGGGAUAGUCGGGGGCAUUUGUAUUCAAACGACAGAGGUGAAAUUCUUGGACCGUUUGAAGACAAACUACUGCGAAAGCAUUUGCCAGGAAUGUUUUCAUUAAUCAAGAACGAAAGUUAGAGGUUCGAAGGCGAUUAGAUACCGCCCUAGUUCUAACCAUAAACGAUGCCAGCUAGCGAUCUGCCGGUGCUUGAUUUUCUGGCCCGGCAGGCAGCUUCCGGGAAACCAAAGCUUGUGGGUUCCAGGGGAAGUAUGGUUGCAAAGCUGAAACUUAAAGGAAUUGACGGAAGGGCACCACCAGGAGUGGAGCCUGUGGCUUAAUUUGACCCAACACGGGAAAUCUCACCAGGCCCGGACACCAGAAGGAUUACAGAUUGAUAGCUCUUUCUUGAUUUGGUGGGUGGUGGUGCAUGGCCGUUCUUAGUUGGUGGAGUGAUUUGUCUGGUUAAUUCCGAUAACGAACGAGACUCUGUCCUGUUAAAUAGAUCCAACCUAGUUGUAGGGUUGGAAUGUCUUCUUAGAGGGACUGGUGAUUAUUAGUCACACGAGAUUGAGCAAUAACAGGUCUGUGAUGCCCUUAGAUGUUCUGGGCCGCACACGCGCUACACUGAAGUGAUCAGCUAGUUUUUCCCUCUCCGAGAGGAGCGGGUAAACUGUUGAACCCACUUCGUGGUAGGGAUCGGAGCUUGCAAUUAUUCUCCGUGAACCAGGAAUUCCCAGUAGGUGCAAGUCAUAAGCUUGCAUCGAUUACGUCCCUGCCCUUUGUACACACCGCCCGUCGCUACUACCGAUUGAGUGUUUUAGUGAGGACCUCGGAUUGCUUGCCUGGCGGUUAACGCUGCCUAGCUGGCGAAAAGACGUCCAAACUGUAGCACUUAGAGGAAGUAAAAGUCGUAACAAGGUU
RNAcentral lists this ribosomal RNA (1402 nucleotides) under metagenome. Its description in RNAcentral is "SSU rRNA". It matches the Rfam family "Eukaryotic small subunit ribosomal RNA", at positions 376 to 1801 of the family's 1831-position model. The record is from RNAcentral.